GAUGAACGCUGGCGGCGUGCCUAAUACAUGCAAGUCGAGCGAACAGACGAGGAGCUUGCUCCUCCGACGUUAGCGGCGGACGGGUGAGUAACACGUGGAUAACCUACCUAUAAGACUGGGAUAACUUCGGGAAACCGGAGCUAAUACCGGAUAAUAUAUUGAACCGCAUGGUUCAAUAGUGAAAGACGGUUUUGCUGUCACUUAUAGAUGGAUCCGCGCCGCAUUAGCUAGUUGGUAAGGUAACGGCUUACCAAGGCGACGAUGCGUAGCCGACCUGAGAGGGUGAUCGGCCACACUGGAACUGAGACACGGUCCAGACUCCUACGGGAGGCAGCAGUAGGGAAUCUUCCGCAAGGGGCGAAAGCCUGACGGAGCAACGCCGCGUGAGUGAUGAAGGUCUUCGGAUCGUAAAACUCUGUUAUUAGGGAAGAACAAAUGUGUAAGUAACUAUGCACGUCUUGACGGUACCUAAUCAGAAAGCCACGGCUAACUACG
This 495-nucleotide ribosomal RNA is filed under the name uncultured bacterium. RNAcentral describes it as "partial 16S ribosomal RNA". It matches the Rfam family "Bacterial small subunit ribosomal RNA", at positions 28 to 505 of the family's 1533-position model. The record is from RNAcentral.